UACGGAGGGUGCAAGCGUUAUCCGGAUUCACUGGGUUUAAAGGGUGCGUAGGUGGGUCUGUAAGUCAGUGGUGAAAUCUCCGGGCUUAACCCGGAAACUGCCAUUGAUACUAUAGGUCUUGAAUUUUCUGGAGGUUAGCGGAAUAUGUCAUGUAGCGGUGAAAUGCUUAGAUAUGACAUAGAACACCGAUUGCGAAGGCAGCUGACUACAGGAACAUUGACACUGAGGCACGAAAGCGUGGGGAUCAAACAGG
RNAcentral lists this ribosomal RNA (253 nucleotides) under uncultured bacterium. Its description in RNAcentral is "partial 16S ribosomal RNA". It matches the Rfam family "Bacterial small subunit ribosomal RNA", at positions 524 to 776 of the family's 1533-position model. The record is from RNAcentral.